GACGAACGCUGGCGGCGUGCCUAAUACAUGCAAGUAGAACGCUGAAGGAGGAGCUUGCUUCUCUGGAUGAGUUGCGAACGGGUGAGUAACGCGUAGGUAACCUGCCUGGUAGCGGGGGAUAACUAUUGGAAACGAUAGCUAAUACCGCAUAAUAGUAGAUGUUGCAUGACAUUUGCUUAAAAGGUGCAAUUGCAUCACUACCAGAUGGACCUGCGUUGUAUUAGCUAGUUGGUGGGGUAACGGCUCACCAAGGCGAUGAUACAUAGCCGACCUGAGAGGGUGAUCGGCCACACUGGGACUGAGACACGGCCCAGACUCCUACGGGAGGCAGCAGUAGGGAAUCUUCGGCAAUGGACGGAAGUCUGACCGAGCAACGCCGCGUGAGUGAAGAAGGUUUUCGGAUCGUAAAGCUCUGUUGUAAGAGAAGAACGAGUGUGAGAGUGGAAAGUUCACACUGUGACGGUAUCUUACCAGAAAGGGACGGCUAACUACGUG
This 495-nucleotide ribosomal RNA is filed under the name uncultured bacterium. RNAcentral's name for it is "partial 16S ribosomal RNA". It matches the Rfam family "Bacterial small subunit ribosomal RNA", at positions 28 to 507 of the family's 1533-position model. The record is from RNAcentral.